Small nuclear RNA from Pipistrellus kuhlii (Kuhl's pipistrelle), 107 nucleotides. NCBI's taxonomy places the organism in Eukaryota, Metazoa, Chordata, Mammalia, Chiroptera, Vespertilionidae. The record is from RefSeq and is a predicted model, not a curated record.
GUGCUUGUUUCAGCAUCACACAUACUAAAAUUGGAAUGAAACAGAGAAGAUUAGUAUGGCCUCUGUGCAAGGAUGACAUGCAAAUUUGUGAAGCGUUCCAUAUUUUU